This is a long non-coding RNA of Solea senegalensis (Senegalese sole), 261 nucleotides long. RefSeq lists it as uncharacterized. Lineage: Eukaryota; Metazoa; Chordata; Actinopteri; Pleuronectiformes; Soleidae. The record is from RefSeq and is a predicted model, not a curated record. The transcript is spliced from 3 exons.
UGCAGCAGUGCUUUCAGAUACCAAUCUAUUUUAUGGUGACUUUUCUGGGUAAUCAUCGACUGUCUAAUCAUCAUCUAAUCACCAGUUACUGAUGGUGUAAUCUGUCUCGUGGAGCCUUCUGCCUUAACAGACCUCCAUGCUGCUGAGGAUGAUGACGACACCUUAUCUCGUGCCACAGAGAAGGAAGAUGCAGAGAGGCCUGUUGAGAGCAAUGCUGGAAAUUACAAUGAGGAAGAAGGUCCAUCAACCUCCACAGCACAG